Molecule: long non-coding RNA, 2976 nt
Organism: Mobula hypostoma (lesser devil ray)
Lineage: Eukaryota; Metazoa; Chordata; Chondrichthyes; Myliobatiformes; Myliobatidae
Exons: 4
Source: RefSeq, a predicted model, not a curated record
UUUUACGCAGGCGGCAUCUUGACCGGACAAGCAAAUAAGUGCAACACUGAAAAGGCCAAAGUCUUGACCUCCGUGGAGCAAAAAAGAAACUGCUGCAAGAACUCUGUGGGUCCAACAAUAUGUGCGUGCGUGUGUGUGUCUUGGAGUGGGGGAAGAAAUUGCUGAAAUUUUAGGUCAAGACCCUGCAUCAAGACUGCGGUUUGUUUCUUUCCCAUUGCAUCGAAGAAAGGUCACCCAUAAAAGACAUUCACAAUAGAUCAAAGAAAUACAAUAGAAUCAACGGAAAACUACAUCCAAGGCUGACAAACAACCAUAUGCAAAAGAAGACAAACUAUGCAAAUAAAAAAAGAAACUAAUAAUAGUAAUAAAUGGCUAAUUAAAUAAUACUGAGAAUAUCAAUUGUGAAGCGGUGCAGCCCAGCCAUUGCUCUGAGCAGGAGAUUUAUUUAUUUACACAUGGUAAAAACUGUGUGACACUUUAAUAAAAUAUUCCUGCAGGGAAACAAAAGCUACGUGCAUGGAGCAUUUCACUUACUGUGCGGCCAUGCACACGCGGCUGAGAGGGAACAGUGCUUGGAACUACCUUUUUGAGCUUGAGGCCACGACCUUAAUCACCCCUGCUGUGGACCACUUCUGGAGGUCCAAGAAACCGCCUUCUACAAAGAAGGGAUCUGUAUGCUCCACGACCGCUGGACUAAGUGUGUAAAUGUAGGAAAAAUAAAUGUGCCUAGAUUUUCUGAACUUGACUCCUUCUACCCUAGGCCACAAACUUAUCAAUCACCCAUCGUAUUUUGAUACUGAGAGAACUUCACAAAUACUAGAAAGAUUUAAAAAAUUCUCUGCUAUCCCAUGAUUUCAGUUAAGAUCAGAAAUUUCUAUAACUCAUUAAAUAAAUUGGUGCCCCUGACAUUUCCAUGUCAAACUAUGUACGUGCAGAAGUUAAUAAAACUACAGAUGCUGUAAAACUGAACAGAAAAUGCUAGUGACAAAUCAGCAGUUCAGUUAACAUAUGUAGAGAGUAAAACAAGAAAGUAACUUUACAGAUAAGGUCAUUUCGAUGAAGGGUUACUGAGCUGUAAUGCUCUGCUUCUCUCUCCAUUAUUGCUGCGUUACCUGCGGAGUAUUUCUAGCAUUUUCUGUUUUUAGCCCUGAAAUUAUCAGCUUCAUGGUAUAAUUAGGUCAAGUGCUAUUUCAUGACUGCAAAUUCUAGGCCAGUGUUUCCCAUAUAGUGCAACUUAAAGUGUAUCUGACUUUAGCUAAUUUGGAGAAUUGGCAGAAGAUAAGAGUGCAAUCAUAAUUGAGAUCUGACAAGCAAUUGCAUUCUAGUAUACUGGAGCAAAUCUUUUGAGACAAUGUCGACAAUGUUGAACUCUUUCAAGAUUAGCACAUACUCUGAAAACAGCCCUUUCAAUUAACAAUUCAGCUAAUAAUGAUCAACCUGACUGAGAGACAAUUGACCAUAUACAAUUCCAGCAGAUGUUUACCACAUAUAUGUUAUGAGAGUUAUAGCAUAUAAAAAGUCACUAGUAUCUCAUAUAGGUCACUAUGCUACAAUCAGAGCACCAGAGCAUAUCUGACAACAAGACAUAGUUUGAUUAGUAGGAAGUAGAUUGGAAAAGACAUUGGAAUGACCACAUACGUUCCUCUGAGAAGUCCUGUUAUUCCUUUUCGUGCCUUGUGGUUUAUCAUGCAGCAUUGUUUUGCCAUUUCCCUAGCAUUUUUCUGUAUUUACAAAUCCAAGUUGCUAGCUCGAUGCUCAGCCCAGCACAGAUGGAAAAUAUGCAAGCAGCCAGCCGGAUUCAAACCUGCGACCAUUUGCCUUGAAGUCUGGUGCUGAUGCCACUAGCACCGGCCAACUCUGAGAAGAGGUGCUGAAAAGUAAUUUGCUUUCAUAUUGGGUUUCAGCUACCAAUUUCUAUUUCAUAGACAUCAAAAUGCAAAUAUUGGGUUUUAUCAGGAAUCUUCAUGUGAUAUGCUGUUUUGGAAGCACUGGUGAACAUGACAAAAGAGGAUAUCAUAACUUCUUGCAAACUCAUUGCAAUUAUCCCAAUGCCAAAUUUAUAAUAUAAAAUUGUGGUAAAAAUGCUCUGUGUGUCUGCAUUGCUGAAAUGUUGCAAUGCAAAAUGUCCCAUUUAUGAACCUCAACGAAGCAGUUUUAGAUAGUUUCAUCUCUCCCUAAAAUGACAUCAAGGCUCAUUUGAUAAGAAUAUUACUAAAUUUAAACUUAUAUAGUUUGAGAAAACCAUUGGAAUGUAGAUGGAGGAUUGAUUUCCUUUCAGUUCAACAAAAUAGAUCUUCUCGCCAUUAAAGUAACAAAUGCUAUCAUCCGACAGGCUGAAGAAGACAAAGAUUUAUGUUCUACCAUUGGCAAUCCAAAAAUUGCCGUAAUAGGAUGGGGUUGUAAAUCAAAGCAUAGAACUGUUGAAAUAAUAUCAAAAAUAUCUUUCCAAUAUUUUUCCAAAAGAGGACAAGACCAAAACAUAUGAGUUAAAGAAGCCACUUCAGAGUGACAUCUAUCAUAAGUAGUGUUUAUAUGGGAAUAAAAACAAGCUAGUUUAUCUUUGGACAUAUGGGCUCUGUGUACUACUUUAAAUUGUAUUAAUGUAUGUUUAGCACAUAUAGAAGAAAUACUAACAUUAGAAGUGAUAUUUUUGACCCUUCGGUUAAAUUUGAAGAAACUUGGAAAUCUUUUAUGCAACAUUUUCAUAUGAUGUAAUCUGACCUUCCUGAAUCUUUUUUAAAAACUUAAAUUAUACGAUUAGAGGAGCGGAAUUGAUGACAUUACUGAACGUGUCUGAUAGAAGAUAUUGGUCUAGCCCUGUUUUGUUCUUUUCUUGGGUUUUUUUUUCUUUUUCUUCUAGGGAUUUUUUUGUUUAUAUAUAUUUUUUCUUUUUAUUUCUUUUUUUAUGACUAAUUUCAUUAUGAGUUUAUAAGUCAAUUAUAUCUAUGUUACUUAAAAUCCUUUUUGUAUAUGCUG